This 253-nucleotide ribosomal RNA is filed under the name uncultured bacterium. RNAcentral's name for it is "partial 16S ribosomal RNA". It matches the Rfam family "Bacterial small subunit ribosomal RNA", at positions 524 to 776 of the family's 1533-position model. The record is from RNAcentral.
UACAGAGGUCCCAAGCGUUGUUCGGAUUCACUGGGCGUAAAGGGUGCGUAGGCGGUCGGGUAAGUCUGACGUGAAAUCUCCAAGCUCAACUUGGAAAUGGCGUCGGAUACUAUUCGGCUGGAGGAAUGGAGGGGAGACUGGAAUUCUCGGUGUAGCAGUGAAAUUCGUAGAUAUCGGGAGGAACACCAGUGGCGAAGGCGACCAUCUGGACGGAUACUGACGCUGAGACGCGAAAGCGUGGGGAGCAAACAGG